UGAAAUCUGGUACCUUCGGUGCCCGAGUUGUAAUUUGGAGAGGGCAACUUUGGGGCCGUUCCUUGUCUAUGUUCCUUGGAACAGGACGUCAUAGAGGGUGAGAAUCCCGUGUGGCGAGGAGUGCGGUUCUUUGUAAAGUGCCUUCGAAGAGUCGAGUUGUUUGGGAAUGCAGCUCUAAGUGGGUGGUAAAUUCCAUCUAAAGCUAAAUAUUGGCGAGAGACCGAUAGCGAACAAGUACAGUGAUGGAAAGAUGAAAAGAACUUUGAAAAGAGAGUGAAAAAGUACGUGAAAUUGUUGAAAGGGAAGGGCAUUUGAUCAGACAUGGUGUUUUGUGCCCUCUGCUCCUUGUGGGUAGGGGAAUCUCGCAUUUCACUGGGCCAGCAUCAGUUUUGGUGGCAGGAUAAAUCCAUAGGAAUGUAGCUUGCCUCGGUAAGUAUUAUAGCCUGUGGGAAUACUGCCAGCUGGGACUGAGGACUGCGACGUAAGUCAAGGAUGCUGGCAUAAUGGUUAUAUGCCGCCCGUCUGA
Molecule: ribosomal RNA, 526 nt
Filed under: Saccharomyces sp.
Lineage: Eukaryota; Fungi; Ascomycota; Saccharomycetes; Saccharomycetales; Saccharomycetaceae
Description: partial large subunit ribosomal RNA
Rfam family: Eukaryotic large subunit ribosomal RNA
Source: RNAcentral